Molecule: unclassified non-coding RNA, 2077 nt
Filed under: Hevea brasiliensis (rubber tree)
Lineage: Eukaryota; Viridiplantae; Streptophyta; Magnoliopsida; Malpighiales; Euphorbiaceae
Source: RNAcentral
UCCUUCUCGCGUCUCAUCUAUCAGAACUAUAUCAUCUGCAAACAUCAUGCACCAAGGGAUACUUUAUUGUAUACGUUUCGUCAUUUCAUCUAAAAUUAAUGUAAAUCUUAAAUUAAUCUAAGUGGAGAUGCUGAUAAUGCAUUUUAUAUUAGAGAUCAAUUGUUGUCUUUUGGGGUUUUACAAAAUUUAUUUACCUACAAUGCAUUGAUUCAUGCACAUGUAAGAGUACAUAACAUUGUUGUUGCAGACUCUCAAAAAGGAGAUGGUUUGGUCUGGUCUUUUUCCUGAUGAGUUUACUUACAAUUUUUUGAUCCAUGCAGCUUGUAAUGUUGGGCACAUUCAUUUUGCACUUAACUUGUAUAAUAAAAUGCUGAUAUGAACCAGAUAUAAUAACUUUAGAGGUCAUUGUGUGAGGGGUAAGAUGGAGGAGGCAGUGGAUCUUUUUGCCAAAUUACAAAAUUCUGGUCUUACGAUUGAUCAUGUUCCAGUUCAGAUACUUAUCAAAAAGUACUGCAUAAUGAGGGAGACUGAUAGGGCAUUUGACCUCUAUCAAAAGUGGUUGACAAGGAAAAAUGUAGGCAAUGACUUUGAACCUUGCAUAUGAUCUUUCUAAAGUGGAGCUGAGGUGUAUCUGGAACUCUGGGAUUAGUGCAGUGCAUUCAUUUUGCUGUCAGGGUCAGUGAGGAAUAAAGCUUUGAAUUCAUCAUAUCAGUUGGAGCUCAGUAGCCUGGUUGAGAGCACCGACAAAGAUGAAGACUUCAUAUACAAGCAGCUGUAGUUACAUGCUCUUAGAAGUGAAUUACAGCUCAUUUGAAAUGUUAACCGCUGCUUAUGAGAAGCGCAGGAUAUUUGACAAGUUAUUAUACCAUAUUCUUGUUGAUAUAUGUUCAUCAAAAUCAAUGCGCUGGGUUGCUGUUGGAUCCAAAACAUGAAAUCCCAAUUCAUUACUCAACAACUCAUUCCAUCUGCAAUGCUGGGAGAAAGUGCCAUAAGAACUCAAAUAGCACCUUGGGCAUUCAGCACUUGACUUGAAACUCCUCUUUUUGUAUAUAUGAAAAGAGCUUUGGUUUGGGUUUUAGCAGAAGCAGUGGUGUAACGGGGAGGUCUCUUAUACUUCGUGUAGUGCCUGACCAAUGAUAUUGGAUUGAACCAAAAGGAAGAAAACCCAAGGUACAAAGUACUCUUGUAUCUUUGUGUUUUUGAGUCAUUUUGUUGAUGGAACUUCUGUUUUCUGUUGUUCAUUAGAAUUAUACCUUUAAAUUUAAUUUGUUCUUUCAAAAACGAUACUCAUUAAAAUUGUUGUAUUUUGCAGAUUCAUAGUAAAAAAAGAUAUAGGCUAGCUCAACAUCGCUUGAAUGAUUUGGUGUUUGUCAAGUAUAAUUAGUCAUUGAAGCGUCAAUGUGAUGCACGUGACCUCAUUGACCCCAUCUCGUUGAAAGACAUUGAUGAUAGUAAUGAAUGGUUGAUGGGUCAAAUGGAGGAAGAGAUAGAGAGAGAUGAACUUGUUUUUAAAGAUGAUGAUUUGACAUGGAAUGUUGUUGCUGAAGCUAUUGGAGCUGAAGAGGAUGCCUACAACACUAGAUUAAGCAAAGGGAAAAAUGAUGCAACUACAUCACAGCAAAAAAGAAAAGUAUCAUCCACUCGUACUUCUUCACUUCUUGAAGACGAGGAAGAAAAUGAUGAUGAUGAAGAUGUUAAUUUGGAAGAUGAGUAUGAGGAGGAUAAUGAAGAUGAUGAAGAAGAUGAAGAAGAUGAAGAGGAUUUUGAUAUUUCUAUUGAUGUGGAUUGAACAUUUAGUAGUUUACUAGUUUAUUAAACUUUAACUUUUAGUAGUUUAUUAGUGUUUUUAACUUUUAGUAGUUUAUUUUUACCUCUUUUGGAUUAUAAACUUAUUAUUACUUGCAUAUUUGUUAGUUAUUAUUAUAUAGUUUUAUGUUACUUGAGGUGUGAUAGCAUAAUUAUAAUUUUUUUUAUUUUUAAUAUAUAUUUUUUAUUUUUGCGCCUUGGCUCUCUCGGGCGCAUGCCUGCGCCUUGUACCUAGGCUCCAAGACACCUUGGCGACUUGGUGCGCCUUAAG